This 90-nucleotide transfer RNA is filed under the name Virgibacillus salinus. It matches the Rfam family "tRNA". From Rfam's summary of the family: Transfer RNA (tRNA) molecules are approximately 80 nucleotides in length. RNAcentral also lists the same sequence under 2 other names. Lineage: Bacteria; Bacillati; Bacillota; Bacilli; Caryophanales; Bacillaceae. The record is from Rfam by way of RNAcentral.
GGAGAAAUACCCAAGUCUGGCUGAAGGGGAUGCACUCGAAAUGCAUUAGGGCGGGUAACCGUCGCGUGGGUUCGAAUCCCACUUUCUCCU